This 384-nucleotide ribosomal RNA is filed under the name uncultured bacterium. Its description in RNAcentral is "bacterial SSU rRNA". It matches the Rfam family "Bacterial small subunit ribosomal RNA", at positions 524 to 906 of the family's 1533-position model. The record is from RNAcentral.
UACAGAGGUCUCAAGCGUUGUUCGGAUUCAUUGGGCGUAAAGGGUGCGUAGGUGGCGCCGUCAGUCAGGUGUGAAAUCUCGGGGCUUAACCCCGAAACUGCACUUGAUACUGCGGUGCUCGAGUACUGGAGAGGAGAUUGGAAUUUACGGUGUAGCAGUGAAAUGCGUAGAUAUCGUAAGGAAGACCAGUGGCGAAGGCGAAUCUCUGGACAGUUACUGACACUGAGGCACGAAGGCCAGGGGAGCAAACGGGAUUAGAUACCCCGGUAGUCCUGGCAGUAAACGGUGCGCGUUUGGUGUGGGAGGAUUCGACCCCUUCUGUGCCGGAGCUAACGCGUUAAACGCGCCGCCUGGGGAGUACGGUCGCAAGAUUAAAACUCAAAG